Molecule: long non-coding RNA, 829 nt
Filed under: Chlamydomonas reinhardtii
Lineage: Eukaryota; Viridiplantae; Chlorophyta; Chlorophyceae; Chlamydomonadales; Chlamydomonadaceae
Description: long non-coding RNA (CREI_LNC001404)
Source: RNAcentral
UCAAAGACACAGCAGACGGCGAGCCGUCAUAAAGAGCCUGUCACCGUUGUCCAUUUCUGUAGCGGCUCGCUCUCACGCCUCUUUCUUCCUGGUCCGGGCGCAACCCCCAGUGGACGCGUUCGGACCAGCCAUGGCACCGAAGCGGCGCCGAGACGAAGCUGAGAAGGCGGAGGAGGAGAAAGGUGGGGGAGCGAUUGCCCCUCGUUGCCUGUCCCUGGCACUCCCGCCAGGAGCACCCCUGACUCCCGCCGUCCAUCUUCUCGGAAUCAUUGCGUGAGGGUGCGGAUUGGGAUCGCUUAGUUUAACUAAUCCGCCCAGUUGGGGCCCACGAGGCUGUCCAUCGUCAAAGUUGGCCGGGGUUCAUUGCAAGGGGGAGAGUCAGAAGUUGCUGAUGCUACAAAAGCAUGUGGGGACUUGGGGUUCAGGGUUUUUACUGGUCAGGAACGGUGCGUUUGUUCGUGCGUGUCCAUCCGUUCGUGCGGCCAGUUGCGCUGUCACACCGGUAUGAACGCGGAACAACCCGCUCAGGCCAUCACGGACAGUGACGAUGACUAAGCACGGUUCCGCAGGUGCAAGGGGGUGGGCUAGGGUCAGGCUUUCUGUUAUGUUUUUUAUGUUUGUGGUUGGGGUUGGCUCGUGAUGCUUUGUGGUCACGAGGUGCGCCUCCCUGGGGACACGCUUUUUCCUGGAGUGGGACCCGCUUGGAUGGGGCAGGGGAGAAUGAGCCGCAGGCACCACGCAAACACGCACGAAACGACUGCACGGCGUGACGUCGAAACGGUGCUCCCUUCUGUACCCCAGAGGCCCGCGCACGCUCUCGCCCCAUGAG